This 433-nucleotide ribosomal RNA is filed under the name uncultured bacterium. RNAcentral describes it as "partial 16S ribosomal RNA". It matches the Rfam family "Bacterial small subunit ribosomal RNA", at positions 29 to 507 of the family's 1533-position model. The record is from RNAcentral.
AACGACCGCUGGCGGCAUGCUUAACACAUGCAAGUCGAACGAGACCUUCGGGCCUAGUUGCGCACGGCUGGUUAAGGCCUGGGAACUUCCCCUUGGGUUCGCAAUCCUUCCCCUAAGGGGGUCCUCAUACCGGUUAAUCUCUUCGCACCAAAGAUUUCUUGCUUUUGGAUGGGCCCGGGUUGGUUUCGCUGGUUGGUAGGGUAAAAGCAUACCAAGGCGACGAUGCAUGGCUGGUCGGAGAGGAUGAUUAGCACCACUGGGACUGAGACACGGCCCAGACUCGUACGGGAGGCAGCAGUGGGGAAUAUUGGACAAGGGGCGAAAGCCUGAUCCAGCAAUGCCGCGUGAGUGAUGAAGGCCUUAGGGUUGUAAAGCUCUUUUACCCGAGAUGAUAAUGACAGUACCGGGAGAAUAAGCUCCGGCUAACUCCGUG